This 253-nucleotide ribosomal RNA is filed under the name uncultured bacterium. RNAcentral describes it as "partial 16S ribosomal RNA". It matches the Rfam family "Bacterial small subunit ribosomal RNA", at positions 524 to 776 of the family's 1533-position model. The record is from RNAcentral.
CACGUAGGGACCGAGCGUUGUCCGGAAUCAUUGGGCGUAAAGCGCGUGUAGGCGGCUCGAUAAGUCCGGUGUGAAACCUUGGGGCUCAACCCCAAGCCUGCACUGGAUACUGUCGAGCUCGAGUCCGGGAGGGGAGAGCGGAAUUCCUAGUGUAGCGGUGAAAUGCGCAGAUAUUAGGAAGAACACCGGUGGCGAAGGCGGCUCUCUGGAACGGUACUGACGCUGAGACGCGAAAGCGUGGGGAGCGAACAGG